This 23-nucleotide non-coding RNA is filed under the name Cricetulus griseus (Chinese hamster). The record is from RNAcentral. Lineage: Eukaryota; Metazoa; Chordata; Mammalia; Rodentia; Cricetidae.
CACUGACUGUUCUUCUAGAGGUC